AUGCAACAGCCCUCGAACUCACCCGAUAUGAAUUGCCUAGACCUUGGCCUAUUUUCUUCACUACAGUCCAUAUUGGAUACGCUGGUGUCUAACAAUUUAGAUGAGCUAAUCAACAAUGUGCAGCAUGAAUAUGAUGCCUAUGAUGCUAAUAAGAUAAACAUAAUUUUCCUAACACUACAAGGAUGCUUAAUUGAGGCCAUGAAGAGAGGUGGAGGCAACGACUACAAGAUCCUUCACAUGUACAAGGAUGGCCUAGAACGGGCAGGAAAUCUUCCUAAUGUUUUAGACUAUGAUCGCGAACUAUAUGAGAGCGUCAUGCAGCCAACUAGAAGUUGUAAUAUUAGAUGCGGCAACUUUUGUAAUGCUGGACAUUGGGUUGAAAUUGUUUAUCCAAGUACUAUUGAGUUCAUCAUUUGUUUAUCCAAUUAUUUAUCCGACUUAUAA
This 444-nucleotide ribosomal RNA is filed under the name Triticum aestivum (bread wheat). RNAcentral's name for it is "partial small subunit ribosomal RNA". Lineage: Eukaryota; Viridiplantae; Streptophyta; Magnoliopsida; Poales; Poaceae. The record is from RNAcentral.